GACGAACGCUGGCGGCGUGCUUAACACAUGCAAGUCGAACGAAGUGGCGAACGGGUGAGUAACGCGUAAUCCACCUGCCCUUCAGAGGGGGACAACAGUUGGAAACGACUGCUAAUACCGCAUACUGAUGGAGGAGGUUUCGUCUGAUUAGCUAGUUGGAGGGGUACCGGGCCACCAAGGCGAUGAUCAGUAGCCGGGCUGAGAGGAUGGACGGCCAAAUUGGGACUGAGACACGGCCCAGACUCCGACGGGGGGCAGCAGGGGGGAAUCUUCCGCAAUGGACGAAAGUCUGACGGAGCAACGCCGCGGGAGUGAUGACGGCCUUCGGGUUGGAAAGCGCUGUUAAUCGGGACGCGGUACCGGAAUAGAAAGCCACGGCUAACUACGUGCCAGCAGCCGCGGUAAUAC
This 408-nucleotide ribosomal RNA is filed under the name uncultured bacterium. Its description in RNAcentral is "partial 16S ribosomal RNA". It matches the Rfam family "Bacterial small subunit ribosomal RNA", at positions 28 to 526 of the family's 1533-position model. The record is from RNAcentral.